CCGAGUUAACAAACUCCCAAACCUUUGUGAACAUACCACUGUUGCUUCGGCGGGUUCGUCCCGGGCGCGCCUCACAGCGUGACCCGGACCCAGGCGCCCGCCGGAGGACCCCAACUCUUGUUUUUAUAGUGUCUCUUCUGAGUGGUAUAAGCAAAUAAUUA
This 161-nucleotide unclassified non-coding RNA is filed under the name uncultured Stilbella. RNAcentral's name for it is "sequence contains ITS1". Lineage: Eukaryota; Fungi; Ascomycota; Sordariomycetes; Hypocreales. The record is from RNAcentral.